RNAcentral lists this ribosomal RNA (249 nucleotides) under uncultured Actinomycetales bacterium. Its description in RNAcentral is "partial 16S ribosomal RNA". It matches the Rfam family "Bacterial small subunit ribosomal RNA", at positions 84 to 334 of the family's 1533-position model. Lineage: Bacteria; Bacillati; Actinomycetota; Actinomycetes; Actinomycetales. The record is from RNAcentral.
GGGGUGCUCGAGUGGCGAACGGGUGAGUAACACGUGAGUAACCCGCCCUUGACUUUGUGAUAACUUCAGGAAACUGGGGCUAAUACCGGAUAGGAGCUCCUGCUGCAUGGUGGGGGUUGGAAAGUUUCGGCGGUUGGGGAUGGACUCGCGGCUUAUCAGCUUGUUGGUGGGGUAGUGGCUUACCAAGGCUUUGACGGGUAGCCGGCCUGAGAGGGUGACCGGCCACAUUGGGACUGAGAUACGACCCAG